RNAcentral lists this ribosomal RNA (484 nucleotides) under uncultured bacterium. Its description in RNAcentral is "partial 16S ribosomal RNA". It matches the Rfam family "Bacterial small subunit ribosomal RNA", at positions 30 to 507 of the family's 1533-position model. The record is from RNAcentral.
AUUGAACGCUGGCGGCAGGCCUAACACAUGCAAGUCGAGCGGAUGAAGGGAGCUUGCUCCUGGAUUUAGCGGCGGACGGGUGAGUAAUGCCUAGGAAUCUGCCUGGUAGUGAGGGAUAACGUCCGGAAACGGGCGCUAAUACCGCAUACGUCCUGAGGGAGAAAGUGGGGGAUCUUCGGACCUCACGCUAUCAGAUGAGCCUAGGUCGGAUUAGCUAGUUGGUGGGGUAAAGGCCUACCAAGGCGACGAUCCGUAACUGGUCUGAGAGGAUGAUCAGUCACACUGGAACUGAGACACGGUCCAGACUCCUACGGGAGGCAGCAGUGGGGAAUAUUGGACAAUGGGCGAAAGCCUGAUCCAGCCAUGCCGCGUGUGUGAAGAAGGUCUUCGGAUUGUAAAGCACCUUAAGUUGGGAGGAAGGGCAGUAAGUUAAUACCUUGCUGUUUUGACGUUACCAACAGAAUAAGCACCGGCUAACUUCGUG